RNAcentral lists this ribosomal RNA (495 nucleotides) under uncultured Oscillospiraceae bacterium. RNAcentral's name for it is "partial 16S ribosomal RNA". The record is from RNAcentral. Lineage: Bacteria; Bacillati; Bacillota; Clostridia; Eubacteriales; Oscillospiraceae.
CACGUAGUUAGCCGUGGCUUAUUCCUCAGGUACCGUCACUUGCUUCGUCCCUGAGAAAAGAAGUUUACAACCCGAAAGCCUUCUUCCUUCACGCGGCGUUGCUGGGUCAGGCUUGCGCUCAUUGCCCAAUAUUCCCCACUGCUGCCUCCCGUAGGAGUCUGGGCCGUGUCUCAGUCCCAAUGUGGCCGGCCAACCUCUCAGUCCGGCUACUGAUCGUCGCCUUGGUGGGCCGUUACCCCGCCAACUAGCUAAUCAGACGCGAGUCCAUCUCAGAGCGAUAAAUCUUUGAUGUCCAGUGCCAUGCGACACAGACAUAUUAUGCGGUAUUAGCAGCUGUUUCCAGCUGUUAUUCCCCACUCCAAGGCAGGUUACUCACGCGUUACUCACCCGUCCGCCACUAAGUAGUCCCAUCAGUUGUCCGAAAACUCCUUCAGGGGUACUCCGUUCGACUUGCAUGUGUUAAGCACGCCGCCAGCGUUCAUCUCGAGCAGGAUA